This 494-nucleotide ribosomal RNA is filed under the name uncultured bacterium. RNAcentral's name for it is "partial 16S ribosomal RNA". It matches the Rfam family "Bacterial small subunit ribosomal RNA", at positions 28 to 507 of the family's 1533-position model. The record is from RNAcentral.
GACGAACGCUGGCGGCGUGCCUAAUACAUGCAAGUCGAGCGGACUUACAAAGCUUGCUUUUUAAGUUAGCGGCGGACGGGUGAGUAACACGUGGGCAACCUGCCUGUAAGACUGGGAUAACUUCGGGAAACCGUAGCUAAUACCGGAUAAUCCUUUUCUACUCAUGUAGAAAAGCUGAAAGACGGUUUACGCUGUCACUUACAGAUGGGCCCGCGGCGCAUUAGCUAGUUGGUGAGGUAACGGCUCACCAAGGCGACGAUGCGUAGCCGACCUGAGAGGGGGAUCGGCGACACUGGGACUGAGACACGGCCCAGACUCCUACGGGAGGCAGCAGUAGGGAAUCUUCCGCAAUGGACGAAAGUCUGACGGAGCAACGCCGCGUGAGUGAUGAAGGUGUUCGGAUCGUAAAACUCUGUUGUUAGGGAAGAACAAGUACGAGAGUAACUGCUCGUACCUUGACGGUACCUAACCAGAAAGCCACGGCUAACUACGUG